UACGGGGGGAGCAAGCGUUGUUCGGAUUUACUGGGCGUAAAGGGCGCGUAGGCGGUCGUGACAAGUCACUUGUGAAAUCUCCGGGCUUAACUCGGAACGGUCAAGUGAUACUGUCGGACUAGAGUACAGAAGGGGCAACUGGAAUUCUCGGUGUAGCGGUGAAAUGCGUAGAUAUCGAGAGGAACACCUGCGGCGAAGGCGGGUGCUGG
Molecule: ribosomal RNA, 209 nt
Filed under: uncultured bacterium
Lineage: Bacteria
Description: partial 16S ribosomal RNA
Rfam family: Bacterial small subunit ribosomal RNA
Source: RNAcentral